ACGCUCGACACCUACUGGAGGCAGCAGUCGGGAAUAUUGCGCAAUGGAGGAAACUCUGACGCAGUGACGCCGCGUGCAGGAAGAAGGUUUUCGGAUUGUAAACUGCUUUAGACAGGGAAGAAAAAGGACAGUACCUGUAGAAUAAGCUCCGGCUAACUACGUGCAGCAGCCGCGGUAAUCUGAGCGGGCUGGCAAGGC
Molecule: ribosomal RNA, 198 nt
Filed under: uncultured bacterium
Lineage: Bacteria
Description: partial 16S ribosomal RNA
Rfam family: Bacterial small subunit ribosomal RNA
Source: RNAcentral